CCCUGGCUCAGGAUGAACGCUGGCGGCGUGCUUAACACAUGCAAGUCGAACGAUGAUCCCAGCUUGCUGGGGGAUUAGUGGCGAACGGGUGAGUAACACGUGAGUAACCUGCCCUUAACUCUGGGAUAAGCCUGGGAAACUGGGUCUAAUACCGGAUAUGACUCCUCAUCGCAUGGUGGGGGGUGGAAAGCUUUAUUGUGGUUUUGGAUGGACUCGCGGCCUAUCAGCUUGUUGGUGAGGUAAUGGCUCACCAAGGCGACGACGGGUAGCCGGCCUGAGAGGGUGACCGGCCACACUGGGACUGAGACACGGCCCAGACUCCUACGGGAGGCAGCAGUGGGGAAUAUUGCACAAUGGGCGAAAGCCUGAUGCAGCGACGCCGCGUGAGGGAUGACGGCCUUCGGGUUGUAAACCUCUUUCAGUAGGGAAGAAGCGAAAGUGACGGUACCUGCAGAAGAAGCGCCGGCUAACUC
This 473-nucleotide ribosomal RNA is filed under the name Micrococcineae bacterium CL4.85. RNAcentral's name for it is "bacterial SSU rRNA". It matches the Rfam family "Bacterial small subunit ribosomal RNA", at positions 17 to 503 of the family's 1533-position model. Lineage: Bacteria; Bacillati; Actinomycetota; Actinomycetes; Micrococcales. The record is from RNAcentral.